CUCUGAAAUUCGUGUUAUUAUUGUUGCACUUGUACAGAUUGCUGUGUCCCACUUGAGCGUGCAUAUGUAGUCUGUUAACAUGGUUCCCAGAGUUUGUUGGUUCAACUUCAUAAUUGAUCUAGGAUUUCCUCUCUCUGUACCUGUAUUGUUUAUAUCUUGCAUGUUUCCUUUCAACUGCUCCUCACUCUAGGCUUAUUUUGUAUUUACAGAUGCAGAUCUUCGUCA
Molecule: long non-coding RNA, 225 nt
Filed under: Hordeum vulgare
Lineage: Eukaryota; Viridiplantae; Streptophyta; Magnoliopsida; Poales; Poaceae
Description: long non-coding RNA (HVUL_LNC014817)
Source: RNAcentral